ACUGCCGCCAAACUUGAUUGGCCACGUAGGCUAAUAUAGCAUCACCAACCAAAGAAUAAUAUGGUAACGACGAGUAGUCUUUAUUUAAGACCUUGUCCGGUUAGUAGAGGUGCAGAAAACAUCGAUGUUUUAACAGGCAAACAUCGAAAAACAUCGAUGUUUCUCCACCUCUACCGGUUAGUGAAUCAUCAGCAUCAGAGUCUAAAAGCGCAAAUAUGUUACAAACUGCUUAUUUGUCGGUGGCAGUGCCGCUAGCUCAGACUUUUCUCAGGGCAGAGUACCCCUAGUGCCACAGCUCGCAACAUAUUAUCGACAGCUCCGCUGUCUCACAUCACUAAACUAUCGGUCAUCACUGAGAACAAAAGAGCGAAAAGAAAGAUGCCCUUAAGAUGUUGCAAGGCACCACCCGUUCUCAGUCGGCAGGAGCCCCCUCCUCGCGACUACGACGGUUCCAUCUCCCCCACUGGGAACGCUUACUCACACAUUGUGGGGUUUACAAAUGUUUAAUGCAUAUGUAUGGUAAGUACAAUAUGUAUGGUAAGUGCAUGGUCACCCAAUCCUGAGGAGCUCCUGUGGAAAAGAAGGGACAGGUGAAAAAGGCAAACGACGAGGACAAAUAAGGCUCUCCGGUCUAAAUCUGGAUAAUUUCACAGUUAAACAGGGAAGUAUAUAUCAAUAUCAAUAAUCAAGGUUCACAUGUAUUUAAAUUUUUUCUAAAUUUCAGCCACUAUCGGGCCAGGCCUGGAGGGCGAUUAUAGCCCGGCUGAAGACUUCUCGCCGGAGGUCAGCGGCAACACGGGUCUCCACAAAGGAAAACUUGCGCACUAUGGUGAGUUGCGCAAGGGAAGCAGUUCGACUGCCAAACAAAAUGGCGGUACUUCUCAACUUUGCGAUGCGACGGCUGGGAGUUCCCAAAUGAGGUGGACGUGGUAGACCGGAACGGACUCACCGGGAAAUGCUCGAUGUCGUUGGCGUCGACUGCGAAAGGCGUUUGUGGCUGCUCGUCUGUGCGGGUCGAGCGGACACCGGUAGCUGGUAGCUAAGUCGAGGCUGGUUGUAUUACGAAGUCGCGCAGAAAUCCAUGGAACUCCCAAGUAAAUAUCCCGGGGCUCUU
This is a non-coding RNA of Drosophila suzukii, 1114 nucleotides long. The record is from RefSeq and is a predicted model, not a curated record. Lineage: Eukaryota; Metazoa; Arthropoda; Insecta; Diptera; Drosophilidae.